This is a non-coding RNA of Physcomitrium patens, 1730 nucleotides long. NCBI's taxonomy places the organism in Eukaryota, Viridiplantae, Streptophyta, Bryopsida, Funariales, Funariaceae. The record is from RefSeq and is a predicted model, not a curated record.
GCCCUUCGCCCGCCCAGGCUUCUUCGUCAUCCUCCUCCUCAUUCACUCUGCCGCGUCCCGUUGUCCGCCAAAAUGAACUCCCAUUGCACCUUCUUCUCUUCCUGUUCCCAUUGCGCUCGCAGUUGCUGCUACACGGGGUUCCACUCCUCUGUCUUCAUCUACGUCUUACACCGCAUCAUUCUCCGAUCCCCACCCAUGACGCCGCGGGGCUUCAUUCUCUCUCACAAGGAGAAUCUCCCCCUUCUGUGGCGUUUUCUCUCUCUCCUUCAGUUUGCUUCACUAUCCGAGAGGUUCUGGAUACCGCUGUGAGGUUCUGUGACGUGGAUUUCUAGUGCUGGUCCUGCGGAGCGCCUUUUUUUUUUUUUUUUUUUUGAAGUGGUCGCGGAGUUUAGACCUUUGUGUGUGUGUGUGCUGUGUGGUAGAGUGAUUUUAAUUUAUUAUUUAUUAUUAUUUUGGGUUACUGGUACCUCGUCUUAGUCCGACUUCGAAUUUCGCAGUUGUGUGUGGAUUUUCAUGGGUGCUGAGUUUCCGUAAGUGUGCUGGAUUGUUUGGAGGAGUGAGGUUAUUGACAGCUCUGGUAGUGUUAGGCAGGGCCUGUCGAUUGUGAACCGGGAUUUAUGGUUUCGGCAGUAGUGGACGGGUGUGAUUUAUUGGCGUUGAUGCGCAUUUGACGUCACGUUCAUGACAUUUGUGUAUAUCCGUGGUUGAUUUGUAAGCGUUUUACACGCAGCUGUGCUCGCUCACCACCUCUUCAGUAGUGCUCUCUCGUUUUUGCUGUCAUGACCGCUGCAUAUGACAUUUGAAGUUCUAGUCUGAAUCGUAUCCUUUGGGGACGAUAGUAGAGAACAGAUCUCCAUGUCGCAGCCACGCGACUGGAAUUGUAGAUGCUCACUCUCUUCUGUCAAGUGUCGAACUGUCGGCCCUCAAUCACCAAACGCUGGCAACGUGGGAGUGAAAUCUAGCAUGCAAUGGCAUUGUGUUUGCAUGUGUUUGACACAUGGUGUGUUUGUUAGGGUGCUCGAGUGAUCUAUCGCAGGUUCAUUGGAGCUACAGAUAGUUUGUUAUCCCAAAUUCUUGCGGUAUUGGUGACUGGAGGAGGGAUUGGUAAACUGUCAGUGAGCAGACAGUUCGUGGCAAUGGUGUGCUUCGACCUUUGCAUCUUUGCAGGGAGUCCUUUUUCUUGUCUUGCCCCACUUCAAUCCUCCAUCCGUUCUGGUCAACUCAAUCUUCUCCUUACAGAGAGACUUCAUGUACAUGCCCACAAUGCCACGCCUGUGGUUGGUGUUUUUCUUGUCUAGAUUCUUACUGGGCGUUAUCCCUCCUGAGCUGAGAAAGAAGGAUCCCCUAGGGGAGAAAUAGGUGGAGUCGAUACCUUGUGAGCGGGGUGUUAAGCACAAGGGUGCGGCAUACCGCGUCAGACGUGAGCUAUGGCUCUGUAGGGUGUGAUGAGUGCUUAUCCUGCGCUCAUCUAUUGCCCUGAACACCUACCCUAGUGACACGGCCCUUACAAUUUCUUGCGUGGACCGUGGUCAUUGUGUACCACUCCUGAGCUAGUUAGUGGGGAUGCAACGAAGUCGUGAACAACUUAUGUGACUCGUCCAAUUUCAACCAUAGGUCAUGGUGAUUGUUUGUAGAAAAAUCCAGCAAAAAAUAUUUAUAUGAACGUCACAAGUUGACGAUGGUUGUAUGUGAAUUAUACGAUGUCGACAAUUGAACUACGUUUCUUAUGA